GUGCUUGCUGUGGCAGCACAUAUACAAAAAUUGGAAUGAUACAGAGAUUAGUGUGGCCUCUAUGCUAGGAUGACAUGCAGAUUUGUGAAACCAUCCAUAUUUUG
Small nuclear RNA from Gracilinanus agilis (Agile Gracile Mouse Opossum), 104 nucleotides. Lineage: Eukaryota; Metazoa; Chordata; Mammalia; Didelphimorphia; Didelphidae. The record is from RefSeq and is a predicted model, not a curated record.